GCACUCGUAGCUCAGCUGGAUAGAGUACUCGGCUACGAACCGAGCGGUCGCAGGUUCGAAUCCUGCNNAGCUCA
RNAcentral lists this transfer RNA (74 nucleotides) under Pseudomonas sp. RNAcentral's name for it is "tRNA-Arg". It matches the Rfam family "tRNA". From Rfam's summary of the family: Transfer RNA (tRNA) molecules are approximately 80 nucleotides in length. Their secondary structure includes four short double-helical elements and three loops (D, anti-codon, and T loops). Lineage: Bacteria; Pseudomonadati; Pseudomonadota; Gammaproteobacteria; Pseudomonadales; Pseudomonadaceae. The record is from RNAcentral.